Molecule: ribosomal RNA, 617 nt
Filed under: Salmonella enterica
Lineage: Bacteria; Pseudomonadati; Pseudomonadota; Gammaproteobacteria; Enterobacterales; Enterobacteriaceae
Also listed under: 1 other name
Description: partial 23S ribosomal RNA
Rfam family: Bacterial large subunit ribosomal RNA
Source: RNAcentral
ACCCUUUAAUGUUUGAUGUUCUAACGUGGACCCGUGAUCCGGGUUGCGGACAGUGUCUGGUGGGUAGUUUGACUGGGGCGGUCUCCUCCUAAAGAGUAACGGAGGAGCACGAAGGUUGGCUAAUCCUGGUCGGACAUCAGGAGGUUAGUGCAAUGGCAUAAGCCAGCUUGACUGCGAGCGUGACGGCGCGAGCAGGUGCGAAAGCAGGUCAUAGUGAUCCGGUGGUUCUGAAUGGAAGGGCCAUCGCUCAACGGAUAAAAGGUACUCCGGGGAUAACAGGCUGAUACCGCCCAAGAGUUCAUAUCGACGGCGGUGUUUGGCACCUCGAUGUCGGCUCAUCACAUCCUGGGGCUGAAGUAGGUCCCAAGGGUAUGGCUGUUCGCCAUUUAAAGUGGUACGCGAGCUGGGUUUAGAACGUCGUGAGACAGUUCGGUCCCUAUCUGCCGUGGGCGCUGGAGAACUGAGGGGGGCUGCUCCUAGUACGAGAGGACCGGAGUGGACGCAUCACUGGUGUUCGGGUUGUCAUGCCAAUGGCACUGCCCGGUAGCUAAAUGCGGAAGAGAUAAGUGCUGAAAGCAUCUAAGCACGAAACUUGCCCCGAGAUGAGUUCUCCCUGA